RNAcentral lists this ribosomal RNA (498 nucleotides) under uncultured bacterium. RNAcentral's name for it is "partial 16S ribosomal RNA". It matches the Rfam family "Bacterial small subunit ribosomal RNA", at positions 28 to 507 of the family's 1533-position model. The record is from RNAcentral.
GACGAACGCUGGCGGCGUGCCUAAUACAUGCAAGUCGAACGAGAGCGACCGGUGCUUGCACUGGUCAAUCUAGUGGCGAACGGGUGAGUAACACGUGGGUAACCUGCCCAUCAGAGGGGGAUAACAUCCGGAAACGGAUGCUAAAACCGCAUAGGUCUUCGAGCCGCAUGGCUUGAAGAGGAAAAGAGGCGCAAGCUUCUGCUGAUGGAUGGACCCGCGGUGCAUUAGCUAGUUGGUGAGGUAACGGCUCACCAAGGCCGUGAUGCAUAGCCGACCUGAGAGGGUGAUCGGCCACAUUGGGACUGAGACACGGCCCAAACUCCUACGGGAGGCAGCAGUAGGGAAUCUUCCACAAUGGACGCAAGUCUGACGGAGCAACGCCGCGUGAGUGAAGAAGGUUUUCGGAUCGUAAAACUCUGUUGUUAGAGAAGAACAAGUGCUAGAGUAACUGUUAGCGCCUUGACGGUAUCUAACCAGAAAGCCACGGCUAACUACGUG